Lycium barbarum (goji berry) is the source of this 2259-nucleotide long non-coding RNA. RefSeq lists it as uncharacterized. Lineage: Eukaryota; Viridiplantae; Streptophyta; Magnoliopsida; Solanales; Solanaceae. The record is from RefSeq and is a predicted model, not a curated record. The transcript is spliced from 2 exons.
CUCACCAACUUAAAACAAAAAGAAAAAGAAAAUCAAAUGAAGAAAGAGAAGAAGCUGCAACAUACCAUUUUGGUUUGUGUUUACUAAUUGGAAAUGCCCGCAACUUGCCAAGUCGUGACAAAGUUCAUAUUAAAAUAAUUUAAAAACAGAAAAGGAAAAGAAGAAAUGGUAGGCAGAAGAAAUGGUAGGCGAGCAAUUCAGACUUUGGCAAAUUGCAUUUGCAAAUUGCAAAUAGCCUACUCUCAUUGGCUGCUUGGGAGGCAUCUAUGGCUAUAAAUAGAGACAUUGUUUUCCAUUUGAAAGGGGGACGAUUUAGGAGAACAACAAUUGAAGGAGAAGCUGCAAAUAUAAUUCUUCCCAUUCUUUAGCUUCUUCUUCUUCUACAAUUUAUUCAAUCUUUCAGUAUCGGAAACUAUUCUAGUUCCUACUUUUAAUUAAAUAGCGGAAUUAUUCUUCUUGAAUAUUUCUUCUAUUUUCUUAUUUAAUGGACAAAGAUAUUUCUAUUAGUGGUACUAGCUAGCUCCAGUAUGGAGUAACGUUUCUUAUGUUGGGAGAAUGACGGAUCUUGAUAUUUCUAUAUAAUAGUAGAUAUUAUUCCACAAUUUUACGUGUUUGAGCUGAAGCUUUCUAUUUAACUUUUAUCUGCUUUACAGUUAGAUGUUAUUUUAUUUGUUAACGUCUAUCUAAUUUAUACUACAAAUUAGCAUUUUGCUAAUUUUGUAAUCGAGAGAGGCGGAAGAAGUAACAUAGUUAAUUGUGGUAUUGAUAGAUGUUAACAUUUAUUUAGUAACAUCUAUCUAUUUUAUGUUAUAAUUAAUUUUACACUUAUUUGUAAUCGAGAGAGGCGGAUAGUGUAGUAAUUAGUUAUAGCAAGUAAGGUAACCGAAAAGGACUUACUAAAAAGAGCAUGUUUCAGUUCAAGCAUAUAUUUCUGGUUCUUUAAUAUUAAUAUUUUGAUAAUUAAUCUGUAUAACUGAGAGGAGUGCAAUUAAUUGUUCAACUUAAGUAAUAAUAUAUAAAUGUAAUCGCGAGAGGCAUUUAUACAUUUUUGAGAAAUAGAAAUGGAAGAAUAAAAGAAUUUGCUUUAUAAUAGAUAUAUCGAGUGAAGUCAGGAACCCAACACCUUUUAUUAUAAUUUUGAAAACCAAAAAGGAAUAAUUUCUCUAAUUCUCUUUUUAAUUAUUAAUUAGUUAAUUCACCCCUCAACUCUUUCUGAUUGUCUCAAAUAGUAAUUAAAACAAGAAACGUCUGUAGAAUAGAUAAACCAAUCUCUGUGGGUUCGACAUCUUUCUAUACUAUUAUUUGACAAGGGUACGAGUAAAAAUUUAUAUACGCCAGACACUUGUCAGUCUAUGAUAGUUCUUGUCAAUGAGUUAUUAUAGAUCAUAAUCGUUUAUUAUCAGUUAUGUCUAUUAAUAGACCCAUCACACUUAACUUUAUUUCGACUGACAACAACAGUAAUAAAAUAAAAAAUUGUUAAAUUUACAACGGUAACAAUCAACCCUUCCCUAUAUAAAAUCGACUCAAAAUUCAAACUCAUCCAUUGUCUCUUUUCAUGAUCCAACACCUCCAUAGUCUCUUUUCUUGAUCAAACUCCUCCAUUAUUUUUUUUCUUGAUCAGAACACCCAAAAUGUCUCAGCUAUCUGAAACAUCUCAACCACAAGAUCCCGACAUUUAUUUCUGCAGUGAAUACACUGUCUUAAAGACAUUAGGCACCACAAAAAAUCCAGGUCGCAGAUUCUUUGAUUGCGCAGUUAGAACUGUGAGUUUCUAAUUCCCAAGGUUUAUUGAUCCACACCCGACACAACAGCAAAAAAAUCUCAAAUGAGCCCUGGACCUAGAAGGAGCCCAGGUGGAUGUGAGACACCAACAUCAAAAGGCUUAAUCAAAUUUGAACUGCAAAACAUGCUCAAAGAAUCUUUAGAGAACGGGGAAUUACUUCAGUCAUUAUUAAGAGAAUCUGAAGAAAAGAAGGAUCACUUGAAAGACAUGCUGAGAGAGACCACAAUUGAGAGGGAUGAACUAAAACAGAGGUUGAUGGUGGCUGAAAAGAAAGUGAAUGGACUAAGGAUGCUUUUGUAUGGUUUAUUAGCGGUAUUUGCUAUAUGGAAAUAUGUAAUAGGGCUAUAGUGGGAUUAGGUCUUUCAUUCUGGGUGUAUGAACAAUUACGAACAAUUUGAAGCUGGUUUUAUUUAUAUGAAAAAAUAUAUGUGUUUGUCUUCAAGCUUUAUAACAUCUCUAUUGAGUUUGCUUAUAAA